This 103-nucleotide ribosomal RNA is filed under the name Valeriana officinalis (common valerian). Its description in RNAcentral is "4.5S ribosomal RNA". Lineage: Eukaryota; Viridiplantae; Streptophyta; Magnoliopsida; Dipsacales; Caprifoliaceae. The record is from RNAcentral. RNAcentral also lists the same sequence under 10 other names.
GAAGGUCACGGCGAGACGAGCCGUUUAUCAUUACGAUAGGUGUCAAGUGGAAGUACAGUGAUGUAUGCAGCUGAGGCAUCCUAACAGACCAACAGACUUGAAC